UACGUAGGGGGCAAGCGUUGUCCGGAUUUAUUGGGCGUAAAGAGCGUGUAGGCGGCCAUACAGGUCAGCUGUGAAAACUCGAGGCUCAACCUCGAGACGUCGGUUGAAACCGUAUGGCUAGAGUCCGGAAGAGGAGAGUGGAAUUCCCGGUGUAGCGGUGAAAUGCGCAGAUAUCGGGAAGAACACCCGUGGCGAAGGCGGCUCUCUGGGACGGUACUGACGCUGAGACGCGAAGGCAUGGGGAGCGAACAGG
Molecule: ribosomal RNA, 253 nt
Filed under: uncultured bacterium
Lineage: Bacteria
Description: partial 16S ribosomal RNA
Rfam family: Bacterial small subunit ribosomal RNA
Source: RNAcentral